This is a long non-coding RNA of Strigops habroptila (Kakapo), 137 nucleotides long. RefSeq lists it as uncharacterized. The record is from RefSeq and is a predicted model, not a curated record. The transcript has 3 exons. NCBI's taxonomy places the organism in Eukaryota, Metazoa, Chordata, Aves, Psittaciformes, Psittacidae.
GCAAUCAGCAGGCUGUACUUUGUGGUAUUAGGCCAUAGGAAUUUCAGGGGUGAUGGAAGGGCUGUUGGAAGUAGUAUUACUGUUGGUAGAAUAAUUUUUAGCAUUGUAAGAGAUUUAGAUUUUGUAAGAAAUUUGAG